This 429-nucleotide ribosomal RNA is filed under the name Chloroflexota bacterium. RNAcentral describes it as "Chloroflexi bacterium partial 16S ribosomal RNA". It matches the Rfam family "Bacterial small subunit ribosomal RNA", at positions 355 to 776 of the family's 1533-position model. Lineage: Bacteria; Bacillati; Chloroflexota. The record is from RNAcentral.
UAGGGAAUCUUCGGCAAUGGACGAAAGUCUGACCGAGCAACGCCGCGUGAGUGAAGAAGGUUUUCGGAUCGUAAAACUCUGUUGUUAGAGAAGAACAAGGACGUUAGUAACUGAACGUCCCCUGACGGUAUCUAACCAGAAAGCCACGGCUAACUACGUGCCAGCAGCCGCGGUAAUACGUAGGUGGCAAGCGUUGUCCGGAUUUAUUGGGCGGAAAGCGAGCGCAGGCGGUUUCUUAAGUCUGAUGUGAAAGCCCCCGGCUCAACCGGGGAGGGUAAUUGGAAACUGGGAGACUUGAGUGCAGAAGAGGAGAGUGGAAUUCCAUGUGUAGCGGUAAAAUGCGUAGAUAUAUGGAGGAACACCAGUGGCGAAGGCGGCUCUCUGGUCUGUAACUGACGCUGAGGCUCGAAAGCGUGGGGAGCAAACAGG